GACGAACGCUGGCGGCGUGCUUAAUACAUGCAAGUCGAACGGAAAGGCCCUGCUUUUGUGGGGUGCUCGAGUGGCGAACGGGUGAGUAACACGUGAGUAACCUGCCCUUGACUUUGGGAUAACUUCAGGAAACUGGGGCUAAUACCGGAUAGGAGCUCCUGCUGCAUGGUGGGGGUUGGAAAGUUUCGGCGGUUGGGGAUGGACUCGCGGCUUAUCAGCUUGUUGGUGGGGUAGUGGCUUACCAAGGCGUUGACGGGUAGACGGCCUGAGAGGGUGACCGGGCACAAUGGGACUGAGGUACGGCCCAGACUCCUACGGGAGGCAGCAGUGGCGAAUCUUGCACAAUGAGCGGAAGCGUGAUACAGAGGCGCCGCGUGCGGGAAGACGGCCUUCGGGUUGAGAACCGCUUUCGCCUGAUACGAAGCGUGAGUGACGGUAAUGGGUAAAGAAGCACCGGCUAACUACGUG
This 468-nucleotide ribosomal RNA is filed under the name uncultured bacterium. RNAcentral's name for it is "partial 16S ribosomal RNA". It matches the Rfam family "Bacterial small subunit ribosomal RNA", at positions 28 to 507 of the family's 1533-position model. The record is from RNAcentral.